UGCCUCCUGACUGCUGCCCUCUCCUCGUGUUUGUGAACCCCAAGAGUGGGGGCCUCAAGGGACGAGAACUGCUCUGCAGUUUCCGGAAGCUGCUGAAUCCACACCAGGUCUUUGAGCUCACCAACGGGGGCCCUCUUCCUGGGUUCCACCUUUUCUCCCAGGUGCCCUGCUUUCGGGUACUGGUCUGUGGUGGAGAUGGCACCGUGGGCUGGGUGCUCGCUGCCCUGGAGGAGACAAGGCGCCAUCUGGCCUGCCCAGAGCCAUCUGUGGCCAUCCUACCCCUGG
Molecule: long non-coding RNA, 285 nt
Filed under: Rattus norvegicus (Norway rat)
Lineage: Eukaryota; Metazoa; Chordata; Mammalia; Rodentia; Muridae
Description: long non-coding RNA NONRATT009168
Source: RNAcentral